GGAGGGGUGCUAGAGUGGUAAUAGAGCGGAUUGCUAAUCCGUGAACUUUAUAAGAGUUCCCAGGGUUCGAAUCCCUGUCCCUCCGCCA
RNAcentral lists this transfer RNA (88 nucleotides) under Rhodospirillaceae bacterium. Its description in RNAcentral is "tRNA-Ser". It matches the Rfam family "tRNA". From Rfam's summary of the family: Transfer RNA (tRNA) molecules are approximately 80 nucleotides in length. Their secondary structure includes four short double-helical elements and three loops (D, anti-codon, and T loops). Lineage: Bacteria; Pseudomonadati; Pseudomonadota; Alphaproteobacteria; Rhodospirillales; Rhodospirillaceae. The record is from RNAcentral.